RNAcentral lists this ribosomal RNA (252 nucleotides) under uncultured Bacteroidales bacterium. RNAcentral describes it as "partial 16S ribosomal RNA". It matches the Rfam family "Bacterial small subunit ribosomal RNA", at positions 524 to 776 of the family's 1533-position model. The record is from RNAcentral. Lineage: Bacteria; Pseudomonadati; Bacteroidota; Bacteroidia; Bacteroidales.
UACGGAGGAUGCGAGCGUUAUCCGGAUUUAUUGGGUUUAAAGGGUGCGCAGGCGGUCUGUUAAGUCAGCGGUCAAAGCCCGGGGCUCAACCCCGGCCCGCCGUUGAAACUGGCAGUCUCGAGUUGGAGAGAAGUAUGCGGAAUGCGCGGUGUAGCGGUGAAAUGCUUAGAUAUUGCGCAGAACUCCGAUUGCGAAGGCAGCCUACCGGCUUCUGUCUGACGCUGAGGCACGAAAGCGUGGGUAUCGAACAGG